UGAGGAACAUGACCUUCGGCGGGGGAUAGCCGGCCCAACGGCCGGGUAAUACCGCGUACGACCACAUGGGGACAUCCCUCGGUGGUGAAAGCAGCAAUGCGCCGAUGGAGUGCCUCGCGGCCUAUCAGCUAGUUGGUGAUGUAACGGCUCACCAAGGCGACGACGGGUAGCUGGUCUGAGAGGAUGACCAGCCACAUUGGGACUGAGACACGGCCCAGACCUNUACGGGAG
Molecule: ribosomal RNA, 231 nt
Filed under: uncultured bacterium
Lineage: Bacteria
Description: partial 16S ribosomal RNA
Rfam family: Bacterial small subunit ribosomal RNA
Source: RNAcentral